RNAcentral lists this ribosomal RNA (554 nucleotides) under Microbacterium phyllosphaerae. RNAcentral describes it as "bacterial SSU rRNA". It matches the Rfam family "Bacterial small subunit ribosomal RNA", at positions 45 to 612 of the family's 1533-position model. Lineage: Bacteria; Bacillati; Actinomycetota; Actinomycetes; Micrococcales; Microbacteriaceae. The record is from RNAcentral.
UGCUUACACAUGCAAGUCGAACGGUGAAGCCCAGCUUGCUGGGUGGAUCAGUGGCGAACGGGUGAGUAACACGUGAGCAACCUGCCCCUGACUCUGGGAUAAGCGCUGGAAACGGCGUCUAAUACUGGAUACGAGUAGCGACCGCAUGGUCAGUUACUGGAAAGAUUUAUUGGUUGGGGAUGGGCUCGCGGCCUAUCAGCUUGUUGGUGAGGUAAUGGCUCACCAAGGCGUCGACGGGUAGCCGGCCUGAGAGGGUGACCGGCCACACUGGGACUGAGACACGGCCCAGACUCCUACGGGAGGCAGCAGUGGGGAAUAUUGCACAAUGGGCGCAAGCCUGAUGCAGCAACGCCGCGUGAGGGAUGACGGCCUUCGGGUUGUAAACCUCUUUUAGCAGGGAAGAAGCGAAAGUGACGGUACCUGCAGAAAAAGCGCCGGCUAACUACGUGCCAGCAGCCGCGGUAAUACGUAGGGCGCAAGCGUUAUCCGGAAUUAUUGGGCGUAAAGAGCUCGUAGGCGGUUUGUCGCGUCUGCUGUGAAAUCCGGAGGCUCAA